CCUACGGGCGGCAGCAGUGGGGAAUAUUGCACAAUGGGGGAAACCCUGAUGCAGCGACGCCGCGUGAGUGAAGACGUAAUUCGUUAUGUAAAGCUCUAUCAGCCGGGAAGCAAAUGCCGGUACCCGAGCAAGAAGCCACGGCGAACUACGUGUCAGCAGCCGCGGUCAUACGUCGGGGGCCAGCGUUAUCCGGAUUUAUUGGGGGUAAAGGGGGAGUUGACGGCAGUGAAAGUCUGGAGUGAAAGGCGGGGGCUCAACCCCCGGACUGCUCUUGAAACUGUACGGCUGGAGUGCAGGAGAGGUAAGUGGAAUGCCUAGUGUAGCGGUGAAAUGCGUAGAUAUUAGGAGGAACACCAGUGGCGAAGGCGGCAUACUGGACUGCAACUGACGUUGAGGCACGAAAGCGUGGGGAGCAAACAGGAUUAGAUACCCUGGUAGUC
This 440-nucleotide ribosomal RNA is filed under the name uncultured bacterium. RNAcentral's name for it is "partial 16S ribosomal RNA". It matches the Rfam family "Bacterial small subunit ribosomal RNA", at positions 338 to 795 of the family's 1533-position model. The record is from RNAcentral.